UGGGGAAUCUUCCGCAAUGGACGAAAGUCUGACGGAGCAACGCCGCGUGAGUGAAGACGGCCUUCGGGUUGUAAAGCUCUGUUAUUCGGGAAGAACGAUUCGUUUGUGAACAAUGAACGGAAGUGACGGUACCGAAAGAGAAAGCCACGGCUAACUACGUGCCAGCAGCCGCGGUAAUACGUAGGUGGCAAGCGUUGUCCGGAAUUAUUGGGCGUAAAGCGCGCGUAGGCGGUAUGGUAAGUCUGUCUUAGAAGUGCGGGGCUUAACCCCGUGAGGGGACAGAGACUGUCAUACUGGAGUCUCGGAGAGGAAAGCGGAAUUCCUAGUGUAGCGGUGAAAUGCGUAGAGAUUAGGAAGAACACCGGUGGCGAAGGCGGCUUUCUGGACGAGCACUGACGCUGAGGCGCGAAGGCGUGGGGAGCGAACAGG
Molecule: ribosomal RNA, 429 nt
Filed under: Fusobacteriota bacterium
Lineage: Bacteria; Fusobacteriati; Fusobacteriota
Description: Fusobacteria bacterium partial 16S ribosomal RNA
Rfam family: Bacterial small subunit ribosomal RNA
Source: RNAcentral